UCGGGAAUAUUGCGCAAUGGAGGAAACUCUGACGCAGUGACGCCGCGUGCAGGAAGAAGGUUUUCGGAUUGUAAACUGCUUUAGACAGGGAAGAAAAAAUGACAGUACCCGUAGAAUAAGCUCCGGCUAACUACGUGCCAGCAGCCGCGGUAAUACGUAGGGAGCAAGCGUUAUCCGGAUUUAUUGGGUGUAAAGGGCGCGUAGACGGGAAGACAAGUUAGUUGUGAAAUCCCUCGGCUUAACUGAGGAACUGCAACUAAAACUAUCAUUCUUGAGUGCUGGAGAGGAAAGUGGAAUUCCUAGUGUAGCGGUGAAAUGCGUAGAUAUUAGGAGGAACACCAGUGGCGAAGGCGACUUUCUGGACAGUAACUGACGUUGAGGCACGAAAGUGUGGGGAGCAAAGCAAGGCAGUUAUGAUACCC
Molecule: ribosomal RNA, 422 nt
Filed under: uncultured bacterium
Lineage: Bacteria
Description: bacterial SSU rRNA
Rfam family: Bacterial small subunit ribosomal RNA
Source: RNAcentral